Molecule: long non-coding RNA, 375 nt
Filed under: Mytilus galloprovincialis (Mediterranean mussel)
Lineage: Eukaryota; Metazoa; Mollusca; Bivalvia; Mytilida; Mytilidae
Source: RNAcentral
AAAUAUUUAAAAUGAGAGCUGAAAUUUUUUCUAUCUUUAAAUGUGCAUUGAAGGUUAAAAUAAUCAUAAUGUGAACAAGAAUGAAGAAAAAAUCUUGGUCCCAAAAAAAACAUCAUCAACCAGGAUAUAUAAUUCAAAAUAUUAAUUUAUUAUACUAAUAUCAGUUGAAAUCUCAAGCCGCUGUUUUGCAGGUUAACAAUGUAGGUCAUGUCCCAACAAAAAAUCAAUAAAUAUGACAGUGCAAUGUACUCUUAGCACAAACACAUAAGGUCACUGUGAAAUAGACAUAUAGGGCAAGAAACAGUCAGUUAUACCAAACCAGUUUGACUAGAUGUGUCCUAUAUUUUGACAAUGUAAAUGACAUGAGGACCUGCA